This 432-nucleotide ribosomal RNA is filed under the name uncultured bacterium. Its description in RNAcentral is "bacterial SSU rRNA". It matches the Rfam family "Bacterial small subunit ribosomal RNA", at positions 29 to 507 of the family's 1533-position model. The record is from RNAcentral.
AACGAACGCUGGCGGCAGGCCUAACACAUGCAAGUCGAGCGCCCCGCAAGGGGAGCGGCGGACGGGUGAGUAACGCGUGGGAACGUACCCUUUGCUACGGAAUAGCCUCGGGAAACUGGGAGUAAUACCGUAUGUGCCCUUCGGGGGAAAGAUUUAUCGGCAAAGGAUCGGCCCGCGUUGGAUUAGGUAGUUGGUGGGGUAAGUGGCCUACCAAGCCGACGAUCCAUAGCCGGUUUGAGAGGAUGAUCAGCCACACUGGGACUGAGACACGGCCCAGACUCCUACGGGAGGCAGCAGUGGGGAAUCUUAGACAAUGGGCGCAAGCCUGAUCUAGCCAUGCCGCGUGAGCGAUGAAGGCCUUAGGGUUGUAAAGCUCUUUCAGUGGGGAAGAUAAUGACUGUACCCACAGAAGAAGCCCCGGCUAACUCCGUG